ACGGAGGGUGCAAGCGUUACUCGGAAUCACUGGGCGUAAAGGAUGCGUAGGCUGGAAAUCAAGUCGAGAGUGAAAUCCAACGGCUUAACCGUUGAACUGCUCUCGAAACUGGUUACCUAGAAUAUGGGAGAGGUAGAUGGAAUUGGUGGUGUAGGGGUGAAAUCCGUAGAUAUGACCAGGAAUACCGAUUGCGAAGGCGGUUUACUGGAACAUUUUUGACGCUGAGGCAUGAAAGCGAGGGGAGCAAACAG
RNAcentral lists this ribosomal RNA (251 nucleotides) under uncultured prokaryote. RNAcentral's name for it is "partial 16S rRNA". It matches the Rfam family "Bacterial small subunit ribosomal RNA", at positions 525 to 775 of the family's 1533-position model. The record is from RNAcentral.